GGGGAGGUACCCAAGCGGCCAACGGGAGCUGACUGUAGAUCAGCUGGCGGAACGCCUUCGGAGGUUCGAAUCCUUCCCUCCCCACCA
Molecule: transfer RNA, 87 nt
Filed under: Candidatus Segetimicrobium genomatis
Lineage: Bacteria; Bacillati; Candidatus Sysuimicrobiota; Candidatus Sysuimicrobiia; Candidatus Sysuimicrobiales; Candidatus Segetimicrobiaceae
Also listed under: 1 other name
Description: Terrabacteria group bacterium ANGP1 tRNA-Tyr
Rfam family: tRNA
About the family: Transfer RNA (tRNA) molecules are approximately 80 nucleotides in length. Their secondary structure includes four short double-helical elements and three loops (D, anti-codon, and T loops).
Source: RNAcentral